CAAGGGGAGUGACAGAUAUAGGGAAGAUAAUCAACGAGGUCAUGUCCAGAUCCUCAAAAUGUUCUACAGCUGUACCAUCGAGAGCAUCCUGACCGGUUGCAUCACCGCCUGGUAUGGCAACUGCUCUGCAGCCGACCGUAAGGCGCUACAGAGGGUAGUGCGUACGUCCCAAUACAUCACUGGGCCAAGCUUCCUGCCAUCCAGGACCUAUAUACAAGGCAGUGUCAGAGGAAGGACCAACAAAUUGUCGAAGACUCCAGUCACCCAAGUCAUAGGCUGUUUUCUCUGCUACCGCACGGCAAGAUGUACCGGAGCGCCAAGUCUAGGUCAAACAGGCUUCUAAACAGCUUCUACCCCCAAGCUAUAAAACUGCUGAACAAUUAAUCAAAUGGCCACCUGGACUAUUUACAUAUUUACAUUGACCCCCCUUUGUUUUUACACUGCUUCUACUUGUGUCACGUCCUGACCAGUAUAAGGGGUUAUUGGUUAUUGUAGUUUGGUCAGGACGUGGCAGGGGGUUUUUGUUUUAUGUGGUUCGGGGUUUGUUGGGAUAUGUUCUUAUGUAGAGGGGUGUUUGUUUUAUGUGUUUCGGGGUUUUUGGGUAUUGCUCUAUGUUUUGUAUUUCUAUGGUUUUUCUAUGUUGUGUAUUUCUUUGUUGGCCUGGUAUGGCUCUCAAUCAGGAACAGCUGUACAUCGUUGUUGCUGAUUGGGAGUCAUACUUAGGUAGCCCUUUUUUCACCUGUCUUUUG
RNAcentral lists this long non-coding RNA (749 nucleotides) under Salmo salar (Atlantic salmon). RNAcentral's name for it is "lncRNA (ENSSSAG00000109162.1)". Lineage: Eukaryota; Metazoa; Chordata; Actinopteri; Salmoniformes; Salmonidae. The record is from RNAcentral.